CGGAGGAAAAGAAACCAACGGGGAUUCCCAUAGUAAACUGCGAGUGAAAGGGGAAGAGCCCAGCGCCGAAUCCUGCUGCUGGCAACGGUGGCAGGAACUGUGGCGUGAAGACAGUCCAUUCCAGUGCGGCUAGCUUGCGUAAGUUCUCCUGAGUGAGGCUCCAUCCCAUGGAGGGUGCAAGGCCCGUAUCGUAAGCAGUUGGCGCUGGUAUCAGCUGUCGGAGAGUCGCCUUGUUUGCGAGUACAAGGUGAAGUCGGUGGUAAACUCCAUCGAAGGCUAAAUAUGACCACGAGUCCGAUAGCGAACAAGUACCGUGAGGGAAAAUUGAAAAGCACUUUGAAGAGAGAGCGAAACAGUGCGUGAAACCGCUUAGAGGCAAGCAGAUGGGGCCUCGAAGGCAAAGCAGUGAAUUCAGCUGGUAGUCCGUAGUGCCGGCCCGUUUGUAGACCGCAAGGCUAUAGCGGGUUGUGAGGCUGCGGCUGCUAGUGCACUUUCACUGUUUGUACGCCACCGCCGUUGAGCGAGCGUCCGUCAGGCUGGCGUGUGAAGCCUUGUGCUUUGGCACAGGUGUCUUACUGCCGGCUUAUUGACGCGUUCGCACCUCAACCGGUCAUGUCAGCGUGUGCCAGCGUAUUGCGUUGGGCUCGUUCACCCUGUGUUUGUGUCGGAGAUGACAAGCUUGCUUGGCUCACUGGCAUAGGCUAGGAAUGGCGCGGGUUUGCAACGUAGGCACAUUGUC
Molecule: ribosomal RNA, 739 nt
Filed under: Ramazzottius sp. F3681
Lineage: Eukaryota; Metazoa; Tardigrada; Eutardigrada; Parachela; Ramazzottiidae
Description: eukaryotic LSU rRNA
Rfam family: Eukaryotic large subunit ribosomal RNA
Source: RNAcentral